CCAGACUCCUACGGGAGGCAGCAGUGGGGAAUAUUGGACAAUGGGGGGAACCCUGAUCCAGCGACGCCGCGUGAGUGAAGAAGUAUUUCGGUAUGUAAAGCUCUAUCAGCAGGGAAGAAAGAAAUGACGGUACCUGACUAAGAAGCCCCGGCUAACUACGUGCCAGCAGCCGCGGUAAUACGUAGGGGGCAAGCGUUAUCCGGAUUUACUGGGUGUAAAGGGAGCGUAGACGGCGAUGCAAGUCUGAAGUGAAAGGCGGGGGCCCAACCCCCGGACUGCUUUGGAAACUGUAUAGCUGGAGUGCAGGAGAGGUAAGUGGAAUUCCUAGUGUAGCGGUGAAAUGCGUAGAUAUAAGGAAGAACACCAGUGGCGAAGGCGGAUGACUGGACGGCAACUGACGGUGAGGCGCGAAAGCGUGGGGAGCAAACAGGAUUAGAUACCCCAGUA
This 447-nucleotide ribosomal RNA is filed under the name uncultured bacterium. RNAcentral's name for it is "bacterial SSU rRNA". It matches the Rfam family "Bacterial small subunit ribosomal RNA", at positions 331 to 792 of the family's 1533-position model. The record is from RNAcentral.